RNAcentral lists this ribosomal RNA (535 nucleotides) under uncultured bacterium. RNAcentral's name for it is "partial 16S ribosomal RNA". The record is from RNAcentral.
GGAGUUAGCCGGUGCUUCUUCUGCGAGUAACGUCACAGAUGUAAGGUAUUAACUUACACCCUUUCCUCCUCGCUGAAAGUGCUUUACAACCCGAAGGCCUUCUUCACACACGCGGCAUGGCUGCAUCAGGGUUUCCCCCAUUGUGCAAUAUUCCCCACUGCUGCCUCCCGUAGGAGUCUGGGCCGUGUCUCAGUCCCAGUGUGGCUGAUCAUCCUCUCAGACCAGCUAGGGAUCGUCGCCUAGGUGAGCCUUUACCUCACCUACUAGCUAAUCCCACCUGGGCUUAUCCAUCAGCGCAAGGCCCGAAGGUCCCCUGCUUUCCCCCGUAGGGCGUAUGCGGUAUUAGCAGUCGUUUCCAACUGUUAUCCCCACAAAUGGGCAAAUUCCCAGGCAUUACUCACCCGUCCGCCGCUCGUCAUCUUCAAAAGCAAGCUUUUGAAAUGUUACCGCUCGACUUGCAUGUGUUAGGCCUGCCGCCAGCGUUCAAUCUGAGCCAUANNAACACUGACUCUAGCGGCGUGCGACGAGGCACUAG